Molecule: transfer RNA, 74 nt
Filed under: Hyphomonadaceae bacterium
Lineage: Bacteria; Pseudomonadati; Pseudomonadota; Alphaproteobacteria; Hyphomonadales; Hyphomonadaceae
Description: tRNA-Arg
Rfam family: tRNA
About the family: Transfer RNA (tRNA) molecules are approximately 80 nucleotides in length. Their secondary structure includes four short double-helical elements and three loops (D, anti-codon, and T loops).
Source: RNAcentral
GUACCCGCAGCCCAGCCGGAUGGAGCGCCGCCCUCCGAAGGCGGAGACCGGAGGUUCAAAUCCUCCCGGGUGCG